This 373-nucleotide ribosomal RNA is filed under the name uncultured bacterium. RNAcentral describes it as "bacterial SSU rRNA". It matches the Rfam family "Bacterial small subunit ribosomal RNA", at positions 525 to 896 of the family's 1533-position model. The record is from RNAcentral.
ACAGAGGGUGCAAGCGUUAUUCGGAAUCACUGGGCGUAAAGCGCAUGCAGGUGGGUUAUCAAGUCAGAUGUGAAAUCCCGGGGCUUAACUCCGGAACUGCAUUUGAAACUGAUAGUCUAGAGUCUGUGAGAGGAAGGCGGAAUUCCAGGUGUAGAGGUGAAAUUCGUAGAUAUCUGGAGGAACAUCGGAGGCGAAGGCGGCUUUCUGGUACAGAACUGACACUCAGAUGCGAGAGCGUGGGUAGCAAACAGGAUUAGAUACCCUGGUAGUCCACGCUGUAAACUAUGUUAACUAGCCGUUUGAGGAAUUGACCCCUUGAGUGGUGUAGCCAACGCGUUAAGUUAACCGCCUGGGGAGUACGGUCGCAAGAUUA